AUUGUUUUGUAGAUAUAUAUAUAUCAGUAUAUCCAAAACUUAAAUGUCAAUGUUUUACACACAGUCAAACAGUAAAUUUGAAAAUUAUAUAAGUGACUGAAGAAUAUUUCGCUCUAGCACAUUUAUCAAUUCAGGAUGACGGGCCCUCAAACAAUUUUGGUUUAUGGCUUGAUUGCCAUUCUGAUCAUCAUUAUCGUGAUUAUAUCUAUUAUUUUGCUCGUUGGAUUAUAUAUUCACGAUCCAAAUCGUACAACAACAAAUGAGACGACGACUGAAGAAGCCUUGACUACUUUAUGGACGUAAAUUAGAAAGUCCUCUCUGUACAGUAUUUGUCGUACCCAAUAAAAUUUGUUUAAAUUGUU
Drosophila sechellia is the source of this 362-nucleotide long non-coding RNA. RefSeq lists it as uncharacterized. Lineage: Eukaryota; Metazoa; Arthropoda; Insecta; Diptera; Drosophilidae. The transcript has 2 exons. The record is from RefSeq and is a predicted model, not a curated record.